AACGAACGCUGGCGGCAUGCCUAGCACAUGCAAGUCGAACGAGACCUUCGGGUCUAGUGGCGCACGGGUGCGUAACGCGUGGGAACCUGCCCUUAGGUUCGGAAUAACUCCCCGAAAGGGGUGCUAAUACCGGAUAAUGUCUUCGGACCAAAGAUUUAUCGCCUUUGGAUGGGCCCGCGUUGGAUUAGCUAGUUGGUAGGGUAAAAGCAUACCAAGGCGACGAUCCAUAGCUGGUGUGAGAGGAUGAUCAGCCACACUGGGACUGAGACACGGCCCAGACUCCUACGGGAGGCAGCAGUGGGGAAUAUUGGACAAUGGGCGAAAGCCCGAUCCAGCAAUGCCGCGUGAGUGAUGAAGGCCUUAGGGUUGUAAAGCUCUUUUACCCGGGAUGAUAAUGACAGUACCGGGAGAAUAAGCUCCGGCUAACUACGUG
Molecule: ribosomal RNA, 433 nt
Filed under: uncultured bacterium
Lineage: Bacteria
Description: partial 16S ribosomal RNA
Rfam family: Bacterial small subunit ribosomal RNA
Source: RNAcentral